AAUCAGUUUAAAAUUGUGACAGUUUUGCCAGGUGCCUUUAGAAGUGUGCCAAGUCUCUAAGUUCUUGUUUCCAAUGGUUAUCAUUUUUCUUUCUUGUAGAGUGAUAUGACUAAGGUUAGGAAACUAACCACCAAUGCUGAGCCUGGAACCAAUUUCAAAUCCACUGUGGUUUUACCAUAUGUCAAGGGUCUAUUUAAACAAAUCCCUGCUUCCUUCAACAAGGCUGAAUUAGAUGAUGGGUUGAAUGCUAUCACAACCUAGAGGUUUUCUUCACCUGAUAUCUGAGAAACAUUUGCACUCACAUUAGAGAAGAAACUCUUCUAGAAGAUAAACAAAGAAGCAAUGUUCACAUAAGGGUCUAUUUAAACAAAGUGUUGCUGCCUUCAACUGCUGCUGAAUUAGAUGAUGGGUUGAGUGCUAUCACAACCUAGAGGUUUUCUUCACCUGAUGUCUGAGAAACAUUUGCACUCAUAUUAGAGAAGAAACUCAACUAGAAGCCACAAAUCAAAGCACCUCACAAAGAAGCAAUGUUCACACAAGUCAUAGACAUCAAGGAAAUGUUCCCUCAUGUGGUCUUCAAUGAGAAAGAUCAAUGGUCCUGGGUAGCACUGGUCUCCAUGCUCAGAAGAGGUGAAGAAUGAAUUUUUCUUUUGCCAGCUGAAGAAUCUUGAUUAAAGCUCCUUAGCUUGUUAAUUGGUUUCUUGUAAGUUUAGUGUAUGCAUGCUCUACUGAUGGUGCAGUUUCAUUAUUGCAUCUGUCAUGUCCACUUUUGUACAGGAAGAUAACAGUUCUCCAAACCCUUGACAGCUGUUGCAAAGUUUUUAAGCCAGCAAUCCAUGCAUUCCUCAGUGGCAAGGGAAGGCUGCAAAUGAGUUAACUACACUUCCUGAAGAAAGUGUCUGUAGCCCAGAUGUUAAAGCCCUGCUUAGUCUAAAAAGUGGGAUUCUUUGAUACAGCACUGCCAAUGAGCCCAUCUAAUCAAAGGGAUUCAAGCAGUGAGGGACUUUUACAUGUGUCAAAAGACUUAUGCUGCCCUUGCAGUUAAUUGACUUUCUGGAGUACCAUUAUCAGUGGCAAGGAAAAGGCUAAAAUUGUGUUAACCACACAUCUGGAAGUGAAAUGGACCUUGUAUAACCUGUAAUUCCCUCAUAGCAUGGGGCUGAGGUCAUUGUAUCAGUGGUAUUCAUUAUAUGGACAAAGAGCUGUUGGGAAAAGGUAAUGGUUUAAAACAG
Pocillopora verrucosa is the source of this 1232-nucleotide non-coding RNA. NCBI's taxonomy places the organism in Eukaryota, Metazoa, Cnidaria, Anthozoa, Scleractinia, Pocilloporidae. The record is from RefSeq and is a predicted model, not a curated record.